RNAcentral lists this ribosomal RNA (301 nucleotides) under uncultured bacterium. Its description in RNAcentral is "partial 16S ribosomal RNA". It matches the Rfam family "Bacterial small subunit ribosomal RNA", at positions 509 to 807 of the family's 1533-position model. The record is from RNAcentral.
CAGUCGCCGCGGGAAUACGAAGGGUGCAAGCGUUACUCGGAAUUACCGGGCGUAAAGCGUGCGUAGGUGGUGGUUUAAGUCCGUUGUGAAAGCCCUGGGCUCAACCUGGGAAUUGCAGUGGAUACUGGAUCACUAGAGUGUGGUAGAGGAUAGUGGAAUUUCCGGUGUAGCAGUGAAAUGCGUAGAGAUCGGAAGGAACAUCUGUGGCGAAGGCGACUAUCUGGGCCAACACUGACACUGAGGCACGAAAGCGUGGGGAGCAAACAGGAUUAGAUACCCCUGUAGUCCCUGUCUCUUAUAC